AACGAACGCUGGCGGCGUGCCUAACACAUGCAAGUCGAACGAGAAAGGGGCUUCGGCUCCGAGUAAAGUGGCGCACGGGUGAGUAACACGUGGGUAACCUGCCUCUAAGAUUGGGAUAACUCGUCGAAAGAUGAGCUAAUACCGAAUAAGACCACAGUUCCCGCGGGAACAGGGGUCAAAGGUAGCCUCUGCUUGCAAGCUAUCACUUGGAGAUGGGCCUGCGCACCAUUAGCUAGUUGGUAGGGUAACGGCCUACCAAGGCAAAGAUGGUUAGCUGGUCUGAGAGGAUGAUCAGCCACACUGGAACUGAGACACGGUCCAGACUCCUACGGGAGGCAGCAGUGGGGAAUAUUGCGCAAUGGGCGAAAGCCUGACGCAGCAACGCCGCGUGAGUGAUGAAGGUCUUCGGAUCGUAAAACUCUGUUAUUAGGGAAGAACAUAUGUGUAAGUAACUGUGCACAUCUUGACGGUACCUAAUCAGAAAGCCACGGCUAACUACGUG
RNAcentral lists this ribosomal RNA (502 nucleotides) under uncultured bacterium. RNAcentral's name for it is "partial 16S ribosomal RNA". It matches the Rfam family "Bacterial small subunit ribosomal RNA", at positions 29 to 507 of the family's 1533-position model. The record is from RNAcentral.